This 380-nucleotide long non-coding RNA is filed under the name Rattus norvegicus (Norway rat). RNAcentral describes it as "long non-coding RNA NONRATT008653". Lineage: Eukaryota; Metazoa; Chordata; Mammalia; Rodentia; Muridae. The record is from RNAcentral.
GGUGGAGGCGAGGGAGGAGGAGGAAGGAGAGGAGGAGGAGAAGGAGGAGGAGGGUGACCGAGGUUCUCCUUUGCACUCUCACACAGAGCCGCCUCCCUGGAGUCACCCGCCGCCUCUCGCCGCGCGCGCUUCCCUGCUCCGCGGACGCGACAUUGUUCUUGAAGACUCCCGGGACCUGUCAGAAAUCGGGGCUCCGGGACUUGAAAGAGACUUGACUUCGGCUCGCGGGUUGCGGGGACCGCGGUACUUUCGGGGCGCGUGUGAGGGGAUUAGCUCAUCUCGCCGCGAGGUGCGAGCGCGUGCCUCCCCGCGCACGCUGGCCCCGCCGCAGCCCCGCAGGAUGACGGGGUGCAGGCGGCCCGCGGCCGUGGCGCGGCCGC